GAUGAACGCUAGCUACAGGCUUAACACAUGCAAGUCGAGGGGAAACGGCAUUAAGUGCUUGCACUUUUUGGACGUCGACCGGCGCACGGGUGAGUAACGCGUAUCCAACCUUCCCAUGACUAAGGGAUAACCUGCCGAAAGGCAGACUAAUACCUUAUGGUCUUCACUGACGGCAUCAGAUGUGAAGUAAAGAUUUAUCGGUUAUGGAUGGGGAUGCGUCUGAUUAGCUUGUUGGCGGGGUAACGGCCCACCAAGGCAACGAUCAGUAGGGGUUCUGAGAGGAAGGUCCCCCACAUUGGAACUGAGACACGGUCCAAACUCCUACGGGAGGCAGCAGUGAGGAAUAUUGGUCAAUGGGCGAGAGCCUGAACCAGCCAAGUAGCGUGCAGGAUGACGGCCCUAUGGGUUGUAAACUGCUUUUGUAUGGGGAUAAAGUCAAUCACGUGU
RNAcentral lists this ribosomal RNA (447 nucleotides) under Prevotella sp. oral taxon 298. Its description in RNAcentral is "bacterial SSU rRNA". It matches the Rfam family "Bacterial small subunit ribosomal RNA", at positions 28 to 463 of the family's 1533-position model. The record is from RNAcentral. Lineage: Bacteria; Pseudomonadati; Bacteroidota; Bacteroidia; Bacteroidales; Prevotellaceae.